This 497-nucleotide ribosomal RNA is filed under the name uncultured bacterium. Its description in RNAcentral is "partial 16S ribosomal RNA". It matches the Rfam family "Bacterial small subunit ribosomal RNA", at positions 28 to 507 of the family's 1533-position model. The record is from RNAcentral.
GAUGAACGCUGGCGGCGUGCCUAAUACAUGCAAGUCGAGCGAACAGACGAGUAGCUUUCUCCUCUGACUUUAGCUGCUUACGUGUUAGUAACACUUUGAUAACCUACCUAUAAGACUGGGAUUACUUCUUGAAUCCGGCGCUAAUACCGGAUUAUAUAUUUAACCGCAUUUUUCAAUAGUUAAAUACGGUUUUUCUGUCACUUAUAGAUGGUUCCGCUCCGCAUUAUCUAGUUGGUAAGGUAACGGCUUACCAAGGCAACGAUGCGUAGCCGACCUGAGAGGGGGAUAGGCAAAACUGGAACUGAGAAAAGGUACAGACACCUACGGGAGGAAGCAGUAGGGAAGAUUCAGCAAUGGGAGAAAGAUUGACGGAGCAACGCAGCGUGAGUGAUGAAGGUCUUCGGAUCGUAAAACUCUGUUAUUAGGGAAGAACAAAUGUGUAAGUAACUAUGCACGUCUUGACGGUACCUAAUCAGAAAGCCACGGCUAACUACGUG